Molecule: ribosomal RNA, 460 nt
Filed under: uncultured bacterium
Lineage: Bacteria
Description: partial 16S ribosomal RNA
Rfam family: Bacterial small subunit ribosomal RNA
Source: RNAcentral
CCUACGGGAGGCAGCAGUGAGGAAUAUUGGUCAAUGGGCGAGAGCCUGAACCAGCCAAGUCGCGUGAAGGAUGAAGGAUCUAUGGUUUGUAAACUUCUUUUAUAUGGGAAUAAAGUGAGGAACGUGUUCCUUUUUGUAUGUACCAUAUGAAUAAGCAUCGGCCAACUCCGGUCCAGCAGCCGCGGUAAUACGGAGGAUGCGAGCGUUAUCCGGAUUUAGUGGGUUUAAAGGGUGCGUAGGUGGUUAUUUAAGUCAGCUGUGAAAGUUUGUGGCUCAACCAUAACAUUGCCGUUGAAACUGGUUGACUUGAGUAUAUUUGAGGUAGGCGGAAUGCGUGGUGUAGCGGUGAAAUGCAUAGAUAUCACGCAGAACUCCGAUUGCGAAGGCAGCUUACUAAACUAUAACUGACACUGAAGCACGAAAGCGUGGGGAUCGAACAGGAUUAGAUACCCCAGUAGUC